AAGUCGUAACAAGGUAUCUGUAGGUGAACCUGCAGAUGGAUCAUUUCGAUGAAAACCUUUUUUCUGAGGUGUGGCUCGCACCUGUCCAACUAAACUUGAGCUACCCAAUUUCAACACGGUUGCAUCGGUUGGCUGUCAAACAGUGCCUCGGCGCUGGGAGGCGGUCGACACACAACACAAACACUUUUGAUGAUCUAGGAUUUUGAAUGAAGUUCAUUUUUAUGAUGGAACCGACUGGUAAUGCGGUCGUCUAAAUCUAAAAAACAACUUUUGGCAACGGAUCUCUUGGUUCU
RNAcentral lists this unclassified non-coding RNA (293 nucleotides) under fungal sp. RNAcentral's name for it is "partial internal transcribed spacer region". The stretch from base 1 to 46 matches the Rfam family "Eukaryotic small subunit ribosomal RNA", at positions 1786 to 1831 of the family's 1831-position model. Lineage: Eukaryota; Fungi. The record is from RNAcentral.